RNAcentral lists this ribosomal RNA (1244 nucleotides) under metagenome. Its description in RNAcentral is "bacterial LSU rRNA". It matches the Rfam family "Bacterial large subunit ribosomal RNA", at positions 1564 to 2817 of the family's 2925-position model. The record is from RNAcentral.
UGAGUACGAGAUGCUACGGCAUCGAAGCAGUCUAUGUCAUACUUCCAAGAAAAGCUUGCACUGUCAGAAACAGAUAAUGCCUGUACCAUAACCGACACAGGUGGGUAGGUAGAGUAUACUAAGGGGCGCGAGAUAACUCUCUCUAAGGAACUUGGCAAAAUGACUCCGUAACUUCGGGAGAAGGAGUGCCUUAUUUUUAAGGUUGCAAUAACAAGAUCCAAGCAACUGUUUACCAAAAACACAGGUCUCCGCUAAGUCGAAAGACGAUGUAUGGGGGCUGACGCCUGCCCAGUGCCAGAAGGUUAAAGAAGUCGGUUAGCAUUCGCGAAGCUGGUAACUGAAGCCCUGGUGAACGGCGGCCGUAACGAUAACGGUCCUAAGGUAGCGAAAUUCCUUGUCGGGUAAGUUCCGACCCGCACGAAAGGCGUAAUGAUUUGGAUACUGUCUCGGAGAGGGGCUCGGUGAAAUAGACUUGUCUGUGAAGAUGCGGACUACCUGCACCUGGACAGAAAGACCCUAUGAAGCUUUACUGUAACUUGAAAUUGAAAUUGGACUUUAUUUGCGCAGUAUAGGUGGGAGGCGUUGAAAAUAUUCUUGCGGGAAUAUUGGAGCCAUCAGUGAGAUACCACUCUUGUAAUGUUAGAUUUCUAACUUUAUAUCAUUAUCUGGUUAAAGAACAGUUUCAGGCGGGCAGUUUGACUGGGGCGGUCGCCUCCCAAAUGGUAACGGAGGCGCACAAAGGUUUCCUCUGAACGGGUAGAAAUCGUAUCUAGAGUGUAAAGGCAUAAGGAAGCUUGACUGUGAGACCUACAAGUCGAGCAGGGACGAAAGUCGGUCUUAGUGAUCUGACGGUGCUGAGUGGAAAGGCCGUCACUCAACGGAUAAAAGUUACUCUAAGGAUAACAGGCUGAUCUCCCCCAAGAGUUCACAUCGACGGGGAGGUUUGGCACCUCGAUGUCGGCUCAUCGCAUCCUGGGGCGGUAGUACGUCCCAAGGGUUGGGCUGUUCGCCCAUGAAAGCGGUACGCGAGCUGGGUUCAGAACGUCGUGAGACAGUUCGGUCCAUAUCCGGUGUAGGCGUUAGAAUAUUGAGAGGAGCCUUCUUUAGUACGAGAGGACCGAGAAGGACAUACCUCUGGUGUACCAGUUAUCGUGCCAACGGUAAACGCUGGGUAGCUAUGUAUGGAGUGGAUAACCGCUGAAAGCAUCUAAGUGGGAAGCCCACCUCAAGAUAAGUAUUCUCCU